UUCCAGCUUUGCCUUCUUUCCUCCUCACAAUCUCAUCUGAAUACUUCACUCCCUUACCCUUGUACGGCUCCGGAGGCCUCCACUUCCUCACCGUCGCAGCAAACUGCCCUAUCUCACUCUUGUCGUAUCCACUCACCGUGAUCCUCGUGUUCUCUUCCACUUUCACCUUGAGACUCUCCGGUAUCUGCAUCUUAACCGGGUGAGAAAACCCGAGGUUCAGAACCAGUUCCUUCCCUUCCACGGUUGCACGGUAACCAACUCCCACUAGUAUCAGCUUCUUCUCAAACCCCUUUGAUACUCCCACUACCAUGUUAUCCGUUAGCGUCCUAUAACACAAGAGGUUACGAAAGGGUUAGCAGCAAUAAACAACCCCUAAAGUUCAAGACUUUGUGUAACCAAUUGAUAAAAAGUUGAGAACUUUGUAACCUCAAAAGUUCUAAGACUUUUGUUUGUGACCAAUUGAUAUAGUAAAGGUGAGAGCUUUGUUAACCUGAAGAGGCCGUGCAUUUGGUUAGCUCUUCUAGUUUCGACGGUCUUUUUGACCCUCAAGAAACCAGCAUCUUCUUUGAUGAGCUCAACUUCGCGUGGGUAAGUUAAAGCAAGCUCUCCUAGUGGACCUUUGACUUUCAAGUCUUGACCUUCCAAUGCAAUGGUUACAUUGGUUGGUACAGCGAUAGGUUGCUUCCCUAUCCUUGAUUCCUUACACUGGAUAGUCUUCCUUGAGUAACCCACUUGAGCUGAAGGCGUGGCUGAGACCUUGAACACGUUCCUAUCUCCCAAAAAUGCUGACCUAAAAAAGCAUCUCAUAUCUUCAGACAAACAAACAAAAACAUGUCUACACAGUUAAAGAACCAACAGACAGGAACUAACCAAAUAUGUCAAUAGAAAUUUAAAAUUAAGUUUUGCGAAUCCUGAAUUAAAAACAAAAAAAAAACAAAUCACCAACCAAGUUCACAUUCGUAUCGAUUUCGAAAUAGAAAACUAAAAUAUGAUUCUUUACACUCUAGGGGACUCGUGAUUAUGAAAUUAAAGAAAGCUGAACGCUAAUGGAAUUAUCGACGGUGAUGCUCCCAACUCCACCGAGGACGAGAUUCUUCAACGCCUCGGAGCCAGUGGGGCCGCAAUUGAGCAAACAGAUACUCGCUUCUUCCAAAGCAGCUUGCCCUACCUCCCCCCAUAUCCUGCGAUUCGAUGCGAUUACUUACGUAGAGCGAUAGAAUUAUAAAGAGAGAAGAGAAGGGCGGCGUAUACCUGAGUUGACGAUCGUACUUGGUUUUAGCCUCUGACAUUGUUGUUGCUUACUCUCUUCUCUCGUUCGCUUCUUCGCAGACGAAAGAGCGAGAGAGAACAAGAGGCGGCUCUUGGGCCAAGCUAAUGGGCUUCCUGCCGAUUCAUUUAAUAACUAUUUUCGGCCCAAAACUAAUGUAUCCAUAGCCGUACAGAUUGUGGGCUUCUCUUCCAGUCAACUCAGGUUCGAAUCUCCUUGGAAUCAUUUAUCCUUCUUCUUUUCUUUUUCUUUCUUUCAAAAACAGCCUAUUUCAGGACCCGACUCUGCAACGAGAGAUUUGGGUCUGUGACCAUUCGGAAAAUAAAAGGAACGAAUAUAAAAGGAAUGUACGGAAAUAAAAUAGCAGGAUGAAAAGGAACGAUUGUUCCUUCUCAAAUUUAACAAGAAAUAAUUUUCUUCUUUUAAUUCUCUACAAAAAAAAUAAUCGUCUAUUUAAUCUUUUUCAUAUCAUAAUUGUAAUAUCAUAAUAAAUCAGCGUUAAAAAAAAAGAAAUGAAAAGAAAUUAUUAUUCCUGGUGAAUGGUGAUUUAUUUUUACGAACAUUAGAGAAUGCAUUAUUCAUUGUCGUUCCUUGGUCACCAUUCAUAUCGUUAAACAAUUUUUAACUAAUUUGCAAAUAGUUUCUCCUUUUUUACUAACAUUUUUUCUCAAAGAUUUACUUUUUUUAAUAACCUUUUUUUCACUCAGUAGUUUGCAAGCAUUGAAUCAUGGAGAGAAUAGUUUCACAAUUUUAGUUUUUUUUUCUAAAAAAAAAGAUUUGAGCAAAUACACAUUUCAACAUAGAAAGGAGAACAUGUAAAGUAAAAUACACAACAACAACAAGAAGAAGACACAAAGAUCACUUCUUCUUUCCAGCUUUGCCUUCUUUCCUCCUCACAAUCUCAUCUGAAUACUUCACUCCCUUACCCUUGUACGGCUCCGGAGGCCUCCACUUCCUCACCGUCGCAGCAAACUGCCCUAUCUCACUCUUGUCGUAUCCACUCACCGUGAUCCUCGUGUUCUCUUCCACUUUCACCUUGAGACUCUCCGGUAUCUGCAUCUUAACCGGGUGAGAAAACCCGAGGUUCAGAACCAGUUCCUUCCCUUCCACGGUUGCACGGUAACCAACUCCCACUAGUAUCAGCUUCUUCUCAAACCCCUUUGAUACUCCCACUACCAUGUUAUCCGUUAGCGUCCUAUAACACAAGAGGUUACGAAAGGGUUAGCAGCAAUAAACAACCCCUAAAGUUCAAGACUUUGUGUAACCAAUUGAUAAAAAGUUG
Molecule: long non-coding RNA, 2549 nt
Filed under: Brassica napus (rape)
Lineage: Eukaryota; Viridiplantae; Streptophyta; Magnoliopsida; Brassicales; Brassicaceae
Description: long non-coding RNA (BNAP_LNC016775)
Source: RNAcentral